GAUGAAGAACGUAGCGAAAUGCGAUAAUUAAUGUGAAUUGCAGAAUUCCGUGAAUCAUCGAGUCUUUGAACGCACAUUGCGCCUCAUGGCAUUCCGUGAGGCAUGCCCAUCUCAGCGUUAGAAAAUAUUCUCAAAUUUUAGUUUUGUGCUAAAAUUUGGAUCAUGUCAAGGAAGCUAUUACUAUUAUUGUGAUCGCUCUUUGGAAAUUGAUAGGUCUUUGAGUUGCUACUCAUAGAACGUGAUGAAUCUUUCUUCGUUCUAUUGUAAUUCACUCUGGUAGUCCUAAAACUUGUAUGCCUGUGGCAUAUCUUGUAAUUUGACCUGAGAUUGGGUAGGGAUACACGCUGAACUUAAGCAUAUCAAUAAGCGGAGGA
This 374-nucleotide unclassified non-coding RNA is filed under the name soil metagenome. Its description in RNAcentral is "partial internal transcribed spacer 1". The stretch from base 1 to 120 matches the Rfam family "5.8S ribosomal RNA", at positions 35 to 154 of the family's 154-position model. The record is from RNAcentral.